RNAcentral lists this transfer RNA (95 nucleotides) under Limnoglobus roseus. RNAcentral describes it as "tRNA-Sec". It matches the Rfam family "Selenocysteine transfer RNA". Lineage: Bacteria; Pseudomonadati; Planctomycetota; Planctomycetia; Gemmatales; Gemmataceae. The record is from RNAcentral.
GGGGGUGUUUGCGCGGCUGGUGCCGGCCCCGGUCUUCAAAACCGGUGGGGGCCGUGAACAACGGCCCCGGAGGGUUCGAUUCCCUUCCACUCCCG